ACUCCUACGGGAGGCAGCAGUGAGGAAUAUUGGUCAAUGGGCGAGAGCCUGAACCAGCCAAGUCGCGUGAAGGAAGAAGGUUCUAUGGAUUGUAAACUUCUUUUGUAAGGGAAUAAAACACACCACGUGUGGUGUCUUGUAUGUACUUUACGAAUAAGGAUCGGCUAACUCCGUGCCAGCAGCCGCGGUAAUACGGAGGAUCCGAGCGUUAUCCGGAUUUAUUGGGUUUAAAGGGUGCGUAGGCGGACCCGUAAGUCAGUGGUGAAAGUUUGCAGCUCAACUGUAAAAUUGCCAUUGAAACUACGGAUCUUGAGUGUAAAUGAGGUAGGCGGAAUGUGUUGUGUAGCGGUGAAAUGCUUAGAUAUAACACAGAACACCAAUUGCGAAGGCAGCUUACUGGGAUACAACUGACGCUGAGGCACGAAAGCGUGGGGAUCAAACAGGAUUAGAUACCCUGGUAGUCCACGCAGUAAACGAUGAAUACUAGCUGUAUGCGAUAUACUGUAUGUGGCAAAGCGAAAGCGUUAAGUAUUCCACCUGGGGAGUACGUUCGCAAGAAUG
Molecule: ribosomal RNA, 561 nt
Filed under: uncultured bacterium
Lineage: Bacteria
Description: bacterial SSU rRNA
Rfam family: Bacterial small subunit ribosomal RNA
Source: RNAcentral